RNAcentral lists this ribosomal RNA (227 nucleotides) under Enterobacter cancerogenus. Its description in RNAcentral is "partial 16S ribosomal RNA". It matches the Rfam family "Bacterial small subunit ribosomal RNA", at positions 563 to 785 of the family's 1533-position model. The record is from RNAcentral. Lineage: Bacteria; Pseudomonadati; Pseudomonadota; Gammaproteobacteria; Enterobacterales; Enterobacteriaceae.
GCGUAAGCGCACGCAGGCGGUCUGUCUAGUCGGAUGUGAAAUCCCCGGGCUCAUCCUGGGAACUGCAUUCGAAACUGGCAGGCUAGAGUCUUGCAGAGGGGGGUAGAAUUCCACGUGUAGCGGUGAAAUGCGUAGAGAUCUGGAGGAACACCGGUGGCGAAGGCGGCCCUCUGGACAGAGACUGACGCUCAGGUGCGAAAGCGUGGGGAGCAAACAGGAUUAGAUAC